Molecule: long non-coding RNA, 1023 nt
Filed under: Mus pahari (shrew mouse)
Lineage: Eukaryota; Metazoa; Chordata; Mammalia; Rodentia; Muridae
Description: RIKEN cDNA 9530034A14 gene (MGP_PahariEiJ_G0003549.1)
Source: RNAcentral
AGCAUUGCCAGGCAGUCCUGGCAAUGAUCAGGAGGCUAUGCCUGGAAUGUCCUCUGAGCAGAUGCUGGGAGUAACACUCAUGUUAUGGGGAACAGGAGAAAGGAACGGGUCACUCAUGCUGUCCCAAACUUGCCUGGCAGCACAGCCAACGAUGAGCUUCUGGGUAAUCAAUCAAAGGUGAUAAUACAAAUCGGUGACCUUUACGUGUUUGUUUCAAGGCUCAGGAAAAAUAAGAAAGGAAGGGGAGAAGAUACGGAGGGAAGUAUACCUUCACGAGACUUCCUUUUUCAUGAGGCACUGACAAGUUCUGUACUUCUCCCAUAACUAUACUGUGGACUUCUGUAGUAGUACUUGAGUGAUCCUGUGACACCUCAGAGCCCAAGGGUAGGACAGUGCCUUUAAAACACAGUGCAGAGAAGCCCAGAAAGCUCUCUUGAAAAGUGAAGACAUCGUUUGCCACAAGGAGAUAAUAUCCAGCCACACAGCCCUUUCUUUCUUGUAAUAUUAUCAUGCCUUGUUUGCCUUAAUCUUAUGCUAAGGAAAAAAAAAGGGGGGGCCAAUCAUAAGUGAGGCUGAGCCCAAAUGCAAAAUAUCUCGUCUCAAUGAGAAAUAUUACACACAAAGAAAAUAUUUCAUUGUUCUUAGAAAUGCUUCCAGGUAAUGAUCUCUAGUGUUUGCUAGAAGGAAAAUGAUAAAUUCUGGUUGUAUCCUUUGGCUUUACAUGUGGCCCACAUAUAAAAGUCAAAUAAAUUCAUUAUGUUUGCAACAAGGACAAAAGAAAACAAACAAACAAACAAACAAAACCAAUCAGUGAAUGGUGGCAGCACUACCUUUCUGCUAAUUUGAAUUGGUUUUUGGAUUUGAAACUAAGAUACAGAGAAGUCAUAUUUGUGUUCAUUGCUUUUUUGUUAAUGACAAAAGAUUAAUGAAGCAGGGUACACAUAAGGCAGACACAAGAAAGCUGCCACAUCCUAGAACAACGAUGACAUGGCAGGGCAGGAAGAGACACACGACCACUGGCGG